AUUGAACGCUGGCGGAAUGCUUUACACAUGCAAGUCGAACGGCAGCACGGACUUCGGUCUGGUGGCGAGUGGCGAACGGGUGAGUAACAUAUCGGAACGUAUCCAAUAAUGGGGGAUAACGAGUCGAAAGAUUCGCUAAUACCGCAUACGCCCUACGGGAGAAAGCUGGGGACCUUCGGGCCUGGCGCUAAUGGAGCGGCCGAUAUCUGAUUAGCUAGUUGGUGAGGUAAAGGCUCACCAAGGCGACGAUCAGUAGCUGGUCUGAGAGGACGACCAGCCACACUGGAACUGAGACACGGUCCAGACUCCUACGGGAGGAAGCAGUGGGGAAUUUUGGACGAUGGGCGCAAGCCUGAUCCAGCCAUUCCGCGUGAGUGAAGAAGGCCUUCGGGUUGUAAAGCUCUUUCGCAAGGGAAGAAAACUUAGCCACUAACAUUGGUUGAGGUUGACGGUACCUUGAUAAGAAGCACCGGCUAACUACGUGCCAGCCGCCGCCGUAA
This 500-nucleotide ribosomal RNA is filed under the name uncultured bacterium. RNAcentral describes it as "partial 16S ribosomal RNA". It matches the Rfam family "Bacterial small subunit ribosomal RNA", at positions 30 to 523 of the family's 1533-position model. The record is from RNAcentral.